UACGUAGGGGGCAAGCGUUGUCCGGAAUCAUUGGGCGUAAAGAGCGUGUAGGCGGCUCGAUAAGUCUGCUGUGAAAGUCCAGGGCUCAACCCUGGAAGGCCGGUGGAAACUGUCGGGCUAGAGUCCGGAAGAGGCGAGUGGAAUUCCCGGUGUAGCGGUGAAAUGCGCAGAUAUCGGGAGGAACACCUGCGGCGAAGGCGGGUUGCUGGGCUGACACUGACGCUGAUUGUGCGAAAGCUAGGGGAGCGAACGGG
RNAcentral lists this ribosomal RNA (254 nucleotides) under uncultured bacterium. RNAcentral's name for it is "partial 16S ribosomal RNA". It matches the Rfam family "Bacterial small subunit ribosomal RNA", at positions 524 to 776 of the family's 1533-position model. The record is from RNAcentral.